CAUGGGAUCUGUACGGACUCAAGUCCUUUGGAAAAAGGCGCCAUGGAGAGUGACAGUCUCGUCCUGUCCAAUACAUUUCCCUCUGUAUGACUCCUUCAAAGAGUCGAGUUGUUUGGGAAUGCAGCUCAAAGUGGGACGUAAAUUUGUUCCAAAGCUAAAUACCGGCUAGAGACCGAUAGCGCACAAGUAGAGUGAUCGAAAGAUGAAAAGCACUUUGAAAAGAGAGUUAAAAAGCACGUGAAAUUGUUGAAAGGGAAGCUUAUGUCAUCAGAAAUGGCGUCAAUGUUCAGCCUUUUGGUCUACUCAUUGAUUGCCAGGCUAGCAUCAAUUGGGACAGCCGGAUAAAAGUGUUGGAAAUGUAGCUCCUUCGGGAGUGUUAUAGUCCGAUGCAGAAUGCGGCUAGUCCCGAUUGAGGACCGCUUUGAGGAUGC
RNAcentral lists this ribosomal RNA (431 nucleotides) under Cryptothelium sepultum. Its description in RNAcentral is "eukaryotic LSU rRNA". It matches the Rfam family "Eukaryotic large subunit ribosomal RNA", at positions 163 to 626 of the family's 3401-position model. The record is from RNAcentral. Lineage: Eukaryota; Fungi; Ascomycota; Dothideomycetes; Trypetheliales; Trypetheliaceae.